GAGAGAACACAAGUUUUAGU
This 20-nucleotide small nuclear RNA is filed under the name Arabidopsis thaliana (thale cress). RNAcentral's name for it is "snRNA_10276". Lineage: Eukaryota; Viridiplantae; Streptophyta; Magnoliopsida; Brassicales; Brassicaceae. The record is from RNAcentral.